CAGCAAAGAUGCCUGUAAAACAUCCAAGAGGAUAAACAAGCUGAGAGAAAAAUCUAGGCCAGAGAUAUAAGUUUGGGGAUUUGGGGCUUCAUGCUGGUAUUUUGAAUCAUCAGAGUAGAAUUAUAGCCACUGGACCAGGAUGAUGAUUCUGCCUCAAGAGCUGAAGUCUGAAGAGCUGUUGAAGACAGAAAUCUAGAAGAGGAGGGGACACACAUGAAUGAGGGGUAAAAUGGCCAGAAAAGUUGGAAUAAAAGAAGAAAAUGGGAAAGAGUGGAGUCAGAGAAAUCAAGACAAUAGCUUCCCAAGAAGGGGGAAGAAGCUGCUGUCAAAAGUUACUGAGAAGUUCAGUACAGUAUUGACUGAAAAGAAACUGGUACAGUCAUUAUUAACUUUGGCUGCAUUUUGGAAUUAACUGGAGAAAGUUUUCUAAAACAGGAAUUAUUUUUGGUUUUUGAAUUUUUUGGUAUCCACCUCCAAGUCUUUUGAUUUAAUUGGGCUUGCAUAUGGAAUGUCUGGAUUUUAGAAGUUUUCCAAGGCAUUCUUAUGCCCAAGAUGGAGAACCAGUGAUCAGAUGGAUUUGGUGAUAUGGCAUACUUGUAGGUCUUGGCAGAACUGUGGGCUAGAAGCCAAAUUUCAUAGGUUGAGGAAUCAAAUCAUCUAUUACAAUUUACCUUUUUCGGUUCUUUUUAUAGAGCAGUGUUAUAGUUUUCCCAUGUUUCUAAUCUAAUCAACUGAACUUUUUGCUAAUAACCUUGUCUUUAGUUCAGCUCACCUCAGUUCAGUUGCCCAGUCAUGUCUGACUCUUUGUGACCCCAUGAAUUGCAGCACGCCAGGCCACCCUGUCCAUC
RNAcentral lists this long non-coding RNA (848 nucleotides) under Capra hircus (goat). RNAcentral's name for it is "lncRNA (ENSCHIG00010009924.1)". Lineage: Eukaryota; Metazoa; Chordata; Mammalia; Artiodactyla; Bovidae. The record is from RNAcentral.